GACGAACGCUGGCGGCGUGCUUAACACAUGCAAGUCGAACGAAGAGCGAUGGACGCUUGCUUCUAUCAGUCUUAGGGGCGAACGUGUGAGUAACGCGUAAUCAACCUGCCCUUCAGAGGGGGACAACAGUUGGAAACGACUGCUAAUACCGCAUACGAUCUAAUCGCGGCAUCGAGGAGAGAUGAAAGGUGGCCGCUACAGGUAAGCUAUCACUGAAGGAGGGGAGUGCGUCUGGUUAGGUAGUUGGAUGGGUAAAGGCCCAACCAGGCGAAGAGGAAUAGCCGGGUCGAGAGGGUGGACCGCCAACUUGGGAACGGGAACAGGCCCAGACUCCUAAGGGAGGCAGCAGGGGGGAAACUUCCGCCAUGGAGGAAAGUCUGACGGAGCCACGCCGCGGGGGGGAUAGAGGCCCUCGGGUUGUAAAGCUCCGUUAAUCGGGAAGAAAGGACUUCUUGCGAAUAGGGAGACGGAUUGACGGUACCGGAAGAGAAAGCCACGGCUAACUACGUG
Molecule: ribosomal RNA, 510 nt
Filed under: uncultured bacterium
Lineage: Bacteria
Description: partial 16S ribosomal RNA
Rfam family: Bacterial small subunit ribosomal RNA
Source: RNAcentral